Molecule: ribosomal RNA, 460 nt
Filed under: uncultured bacterium
Lineage: Bacteria
Description: partial 16S ribosomal RNA
Rfam family: Bacterial small subunit ribosomal RNA
Source: RNAcentral
CCUACGGGGGACAGCAGUGAGGAAUAUUGGUCAAUGGGCGCAAGCCUGAACCAGCCAAGUCGCGUGAGGGAUGACGGUCCUAUGGAUUGUAAACCUCUUUUGUCGGGGAGCAAGGCCCGCCACGUGUGGCGGGAAGGAGAGUACCCGAAGAAAAAGCAUCGGAUAACUCCGUGCCAGCAGCCGCGGUAAUACGGAGGAUGCGAGCGUUAUCCGGAUUUAUUGGGUUUAAAGGGUGCGUAGGCGGAAGGUUAAGUCAGCGGUAAAAUGUCGGUGCUCAACACCGGCCUGCCGUUGAAACUGGUCUUCUUGAGUGAGCGAGAAGUAUGCGGAAUUCGUGGUGUAGCGGUGAAAUGCAUAGAUAUCACGCAGAACUCCGAUUGCGAAGGCAGCAUACCGGCGCUCAACUGACGCUGAGGCACGAAAGCGUGGGGAUCGAACAGGAUUAGGUACCCGAGUAGUC